Molecule: ribosomal RNA, 253 nt
Filed under: uncultured bacterium
Lineage: Bacteria
Description: partial 16S ribosomal RNA
Rfam family: Bacterial small subunit ribosomal RNA
Source: RNAcentral
UACGGAGGGUGCAAGCGUUAUCCGGAUUCACUGGGUUUAAAGGGUGCGUAGGCGGGCAGGUAAGUCAGUGGUGAAAUCCCCGGGCUUAACUUGGGAACUGCCGUUGAUACUAUCUGUCUUGAAUAUCGUGGAGGUGAGCGGAAUAUGUCAUGUAGCGGUGAAAUGCUUAGAUAUGACAUAGAACACCCACUGCGAAGGCAGCUCACUACACGAUAAUUGACGCUGAGGCACGAAAGCGUGGGGAGCAAACAGG